GUGAAACGCAAGGGGAAGUGGGCAGUGGUGUUAUUGUAAAUGAAUCGAAAUCUGCUAAGUUUCCUUUGUCGUUUUGGGAGAUUGGUGUAGCUGUUAGUGUCGUUUUGGGUUAUGCAUUGGGUCUUGGUUGUGUUUAUCUCACCAUGCCUGCUUCGGAUUAUAGCUUCCUCAAGCUUCCUAGAAAUCUUGAAGAUCUUCAAAUACUCAGGGAUCACCUGGAGAGCUAUACCAGUGACUAUACUGUUCAGGUCCUUGUCGGAUACUGUGUAGUUUACAUCUUUAUGCAGACAUUUAUGAUCCCAGGAACAGUUUUCAUGUCACUUCUUGCUGGGUCUCUCUUUGGAGUCUUCAGAGGUGUAGCACUGGUCGUAUUCACCGCUACUGCUGGUGCAUCAUCUUGCUAUUUCCUAUCCAAACUGAUUGGGCGGCCCCUUGUGUUCUCGCUAUGGCCUGAUAAAUUAACUUUCUUUCGUGACCAGGUCGCCAAAAGGCGAAAAGGGCUGCUUAAUUACAUGCUUUUCUUGAGAGUUACACCGACACUGCCAAACACAUUUAUCAAUGUUGCUUCACCAAUAGUGGAUGUACCUUACCAUACAUUCUUCUUUGCAACUGUCAUUGGGAUUAUUCCAGCUGCUUAUGUCACUGUCAGGGCUGGAAUAACUCUUGGUGAAUUGCAGUCAGUGGGUGAUCUCUAUGACAUGCAUUCUAUAGCUACUCUUUUCCUUAUCGGCCUUGUAUCUAUUACCCCAACAUUGAUUGGAAACAAGAACUAAUACAGAGCUCAAGCAUCAUCAGAAAGCAUUGUGAAGUGCUUAGACAACCAUAAAUCUUCCUCGGCAUGACUUCAUUAUCUGUACAGAUUAGCGUUAGACAGUUGCAUGGUGCUCAAGUCUCAGCCGCAGA
RNAcentral lists this unclassified non-coding RNA (903 nucleotides) under Hevea brasiliensis (rubber tree). Lineage: Eukaryota; Viridiplantae; Streptophyta; Magnoliopsida; Malpighiales; Euphorbiaceae. The record is from RNAcentral.